Long non-coding RNA from Pygocentrus nattereri (red-bellied piranha), 405 nucleotides. RefSeq lists it as uncharacterized. Lineage: Eukaryota; Metazoa; Chordata; Actinopteri; Characiformes; Serrasalmidae. The transcript has 2 exons. The record is from RefSeq and is a predicted model, not a curated record.
UGAAAAAUUACACAGUGUUUACAUAAUCUUGGUUAUAAUCUUAUCAAUGGACCAAUGAGACAAAGACAUGGUAACAGAUCAGCCAAUGAGGUGUGGUGUUAGAAGGAGAGCGACUCCAAAUGGAGGAAGGAGAGCGGCUCCAGAGUCAGGGAACUGGGUCUGGAUUUUGGCCUCUGGACCUUCAUUCCAUGCUGAAAAGUUCCUGGUUGUUGGUCUGACUUCAGUCUGAAAGCGUCAUUCAGUUGGAUUUUCUGCAGCACAAAUAACCUUCCCAGAAUGCUAGACACCAAGAAUCUCAUGGACUUCUUCUUCUUCCACAUGAGUUUUGCAUAUAUUUGCAUGUUAAUGAGCAAGCGACCAAUCAGAGGAGUCAAGUAAUUAAAAAUUCCAUUGAGUCUUUAUAAA